This 222-nucleotide long non-coding RNA is filed under the name Mytilus galloprovincialis (Mediterranean mussel). The record is from RNAcentral. Lineage: Eukaryota; Metazoa; Mollusca; Bivalvia; Mytilida; Mytilidae.
UAUACAAUUUAAAAUACAAUAAACAAUUAUGAUAUGGCAUUACAGUAAAAAUAUGACGGUAAUGUUAAAAGUACAUAGAUUUGUAUUUAUGUUUAAAUUCGGAUACUGUAUUUGAUUUUUUUUAUUGAAUUAGGAAGAGCAUUCCACACUUUUGGUCCAUUGUACGAGAAACUAGACUUGUACAACUCUGUAUUUGGUUUUGGAAUAAUAAAAUUAUCUGAG